Molecule: long non-coding RNA, 602 nt
Organism: Lagopus muta (rock ptarmigan)
Lineage: Eukaryota; Metazoa; Chordata; Aves; Galliformes; Phasianidae
Exons: 4
Source: RefSeq, a predicted model, not a curated record
CCAGGAUCCGCCCCUCUCCAGUACCUCAUUUAAGGGUUGGCAGUGAAGGUGAGGGUAUCUUGUUGGAGAUCUCUGAAUACUUGAGGCCUUCAAAAUUUGCUGAGUGUUCAAAUACUGAAAGAAAAUAUACCACUGUCUCUAGAGAUGCCGUGUCAACAAAAACUCCUUCCGCUGACAUGAUACAGCAUCUGUCUCACGAGCCAGAGAGAAAUUUGUCAUACAGGAUUUGGUGACACUGUUUGUGGAGCCAUUAGCAUGAUGGAACUCAACUCUCAGAUGUCAUCUGUGCACUUCGGAAGAUGAAGUACUUCAGCUUGUUGGGAAAUCAGUCUCAGGUACACAGGAAUCUCCAGCAAGAUACGCUUACCUCCACUGCCAACUCUUAAAUGACGUCUGGAAAGGGGAGGAUCCUGGCUACACCCCUUCUGAUCGCUCAGCUAAUGCCGAAGAAACUACAACAACUAUCUUUAUUUGUAACCCAUUCUCCGUGUACAAAAUAAAACAGAACUCUGCAGAUUCUUCCACUCAUCUCUUAAUACCAGACAGUACUACUUCCUUUCACACAGAAGCAAUGGAGUAUAGUGCAUGGGAAAGAAAACUCC